CAAUAGCGUAUAUUAAAGUUGUUGCGGUUAAAAAGCUCGUAGUUGGAUCUCGGCAGGCAGGGGGUGGUUCGCUCUUAGCGCUACUGCCCCAUUUGCCUGUGUGAUUGGCGGAGGUUUCGGGGUGCUCUUCGUUGAGUGACCCGGGGCGCCGUCAGGUUUACUUUGAAAAAAUUAGAGUGCUCAAAGCAGGCUUUUCACGCUUGAAUAUUCGUGCAUGGAAUAAUGGAACAGGAACUCGUUUCUAUUUUGUUGGUUUUCGGAAAUCGAGUUAAUGAUUAAUAGGGACAAUUGGGGGCAUUAGUAUUCAGACGACAGAGGUGAAAUUCUUGGACCGUCUGAAGACUAACUACUGCGAAAGCAUUUGCCAAGAGUGUUUUCAUUAA
RNAcentral lists this ribosomal RNA (383 nucleotides) under uncultured eukaryote. Its description in RNAcentral is "partial 18S ribosomal RNA". It matches the Rfam family "Eukaryotic small subunit ribosomal RNA", at positions 592 to 976 of the family's 1831-position model. The record is from RNAcentral.